GCUGCCCCUAAGGCGUUGCAUAUGUGGCUGCGGUGUCACGUGUGUGUCAUCAGUGGCAGAGAGAAGAGAGGCUUGUCUACGCCCAGUGUUCUGGCCUGUGAACGUCUGGAUGAUGAUAGUCUGACACU
This 128-nucleotide small nucleolar RNA is filed under the name Camelus dromedarius (Arabian camel). RNAcentral describes it as "Small nucleolar RNA SNORA17 (ENSCDRG00005000979.1)". It matches the Rfam family "Small nucleolar RNA SNORA17". Rfam says of the family: snoRNA ACA 17 belongs to the H/ACA family of snoRNAs and is predicted to guide pseudouridylation of the 28S rRNA at positions U4659 and U4598. It shares the same host gene together with ACA43. Lineage: Eukaryota; Metazoa; Chordata; Mammalia; Artiodactyla; Camelidae. The record is from Rfam by way of RNAcentral.